ACGAGUUCGGGUGUUGAGUGGUACUCGGUACUGGAGUAGCUGUGGGCUGCCAAAUGUUCUGCAGGCCAGCCUCCGGUCAUGGGGCUGGCACAGCGGGCUGCAGAGUGCUGACCCCUUUGAGCACGGCUGUAGCAGGGGAACGGCGAGAAACUAUCCCGGUGUUACUGAGUCUAAGACAGAGGAUAAAACUACAGGACCAACUUUGACCUGAAUGCCUCCUCCUACACCCCUACAGUAACAGCACAUACUUAUUAUUAAUUAUUCUUAUAAUUGCUCCUGAUAAAAGCAUUUAUUCUGCAUAUUACCUGGAUCAUGGAAGGAGAAUUACUUUGUUUACUGACAAAGUAAAAACCUCACUGAAACAACUUGUGUUUGUUUUGUGUCAGGUUACCUGUCAGCCAGUGGACUUUGGAACUAUGUUCACUGUCCAUUACUUAUGUAACUAUUAAUUUCUGCAACAUUUGAUAAAAUCUGUUCAUGCUUGCAUUUGUUUCCAUUUACUUUCUAUUAAAAGUGAACAUACUCAGUUCACUCUGACUCCAGAUAAACAGCCACUUUAUGCCUAGCAAACAAGCUUAGGAAAGGCACAA
Molecule: long non-coding RNA, 590 nt
Organism: Pogoniulus pusillus (Red-fronted tinkerbird)
Lineage: Eukaryota; Metazoa; Chordata; Aves; Piciformes; Lybiidae
Exons: 2
Source: RefSeq, a predicted model, not a curated record